RNA transcript from Panicum hallii, 2459 nucleotides. RefSeq lists it as uncharacterized. The transcript has 4 exons. NCBI's taxonomy places the organism in Eukaryota, Viridiplantae, Streptophyta, Magnoliopsida, Poales, Poaceae. The record is from RefSeq and is a predicted model, not a curated record.
GAGAAAUUCGAUAAUGCUGCUGCCCAGGGGGAGUCGGUGAUGGCGAGGAGGUCCUCGGCGGUGGGGGUCAGCGAGAGGGAGAGCAGGAGCGGGGCGCGGAGGUGGAAGACGCGCGGGAUGAGGCGAAGGAAGUGGAGCGGGCCAUGACGGUGGAGGCGGCACGCGAGUGGCUCGGGGAGGCCUGCAGCGCGUCGACCAGCGGCGACGCCGCGACAGGCGGGAGGUGCGCCGCCGCGAGGCGCUCGAAGGCGUGGUCCAAGUGCGUAGGCGAAGCCCCUCCCCCCUCUCGUUCGGACUCUCCCUCCCUUCCGCCUCCCCGAUCCCCAUCACCAUCCCCGCAGCUGCAGAGCCCCGCGCCGAGGUCAAAAAGCCACGCCGCGGCUCGACCGUGGGCGUUCCGGCAUUGGUGGUGGCGCGGAGAUGGCGGCGGAGCGGGACAUCGACGACCUGCCGUGGAAUGACGCCAACUACACGGCGCUCAUGCCGCUCUAGUUCCUCGAGCGUGGCGCGCUGACCCACCCGGCCAGGGCCUCCGUAAUGCACGGGCCCGUGCCCUACACCUACAGCCGCUGCCGCCGCCUCGCCUCCGCCCUCGCACGCCGGUCCGUCGGACACGGAAGCACGUGCAGGACAAUUGAUAUACAAGUCUGUUCUUAUUAGACAAGUGUGUUCUGAUUAUUAGCACCGACAACCACAAGCAAGCUCUCACGUGUAUGCUCAAUGUUCCUUCAAAGAAAUCAAUUGAAAAGGAACUGAGGAACGCUAAAAUUAUUUCCCAGAAAAACUGGAGCAGAAUUCCUAUCUCUCUUGUCCGUUAUAUUGUUUGGGUAACAAGUUGUAGCAGUAGAUGCAGUUAGUAUCACCAAGUACAUUAUAAGAUACAAACAAUAGGAGAUGCAGUUGCUUUUCUUGAUUUCAUUUUUUACAAAGCAUAGAUCAAAGAGUUAUUGGCCAAAGAAAUGGAAUACACUAAAAUAAAGGGUUUCUUCAUCAGCAAUAGCAGCAGCAAGCUAUGCCUAAUCUCAGAAUCUUGCAAUAAGUGAGAACUUCUAUGUUAGAGGUGAUGGUACGAUGAGUGGAUCGCCUAUAUGAACAUUAUGCAAGGAAAUUCAGUCACAACAAUACAUUUAAUCCAGCAUGGAUACUAAUUUACAAAUGAUUACCUGAAUCGUUGCAAUGUGUUCUGCACAGUGUGCAUAUUACUUUUCAAAUGAAUAUCUAAUCGACUUAUUCCCAAAAUGUGGAUAUGGGUUUCUCCUCUUCUCACUGGGAAGAAUAGUAUUAUGCUGUUCAGUUUUGCCACUGUGGAUGUAGCCCUCUCCUACACUUCAACAGCUUCAGUACUUUUAGUUGGAUAUGGGUUUAUCCUUAUGGUGGUGCUUCUCUUUACUGGCUUGCAUGCUUUCCAGCAAUACUCAAGGGGCGAGCGCCUUACAAUCACAAUUUAUUUUGAUGUAUUAACCAAAUGGGUCUGCUGGAUGUUUAGCCGUCUUAGAAUGCUGCCUAGCAUACAUGGGGUGCUCCAUAGGACAUGCAGUUUUUUGCAGCACUUCUUCUGAGGGAUCAUAGGUGUAGCCAAUGUUUCUCUUAACCUUGCAGCGAUACUUGUGAUAUGACCAUUGAUCUUUAGCUGGUUGCUUGAUAUCUGCACUUCAGAAUUGUUUGGUGCGAAAAUACCUCAGACGCUCCAACUUCUAUUUGCUUCAUCAUUUGCUUCUAAUGCCCUUCACUGGCUUAUUGGAUGCAUCUGUUUGAAGCUUCACUACUCACAUUCCAGUCUUCUUCGCCCGGUGUUCAUACUAUAGUUUUGGUUCAGCAUGUCAGUAUGUAUGUUUUUUUGUUGUUUCAGAAUUUAAACAGUGGUAUGCAUGUGUUUUGCUUGUCAACAGGUAUUGAGGCUAGGAGUUAGUGCCCCUUUCCUCGACACUACUGGAGGCCAAAUCAAGAUAGGGGAACCAUUCUGCAACUUUUAUUUCAAGAUUCUGCUGGGUCUUUUUCUCAGUGUUAUCUAUGUUGCAAUGGUCAUUCUUGUCCCUGUUGAAAUUGCUUUUCAUUUGGCACCUACUGUGUUCCCGUUAGACAUCACCUACUUUGAUCCUCCAAUUCAGGGCAGACUAUCACCUACUACGAGAAGAGCAACAUGGUGAUGGUGUCUGGGCCCUUCGAUGGCGACGAGGUCGCGGACCUGCUCACCUCCAACGCCAGCAAGAUCAUCACCGACAUACACGUCGUUGGGUCCGGGCCGAGGCGGAGGGAAGCAGAAGCACGCCACCGCCGCCAACGCUUGCAGACUAGCAUUCGUCCACCCAGAUGGUAGGGCGCGCAUCGUGCGACUAAUGUUCUGGUUUACUAAAAUUCUAGUGAGCUUUGACUUCACUGCUAGAAAGUUUGUUGGGUGGCAUUCAAUGCUCCGGCUCCAACUCCAUAUCCUAAAACCCAAAACCAUUUUGAUAGAUUUG